AGUGAACGCUGGCGAUAGGCCUAACACAUGCAAGUCGAACGGCAGCACAGUAAGAGCUUGCUCUUACGGGUGGCGAGUGGCGGACGGGUGAGGAAUACAUCGGAAUCUACUUUUUCGUGGGGGAUAACGUAGGGAAACUUACGCUAAUACCGCAUACGACCUACGGGUGAUAGCAGGGGAUCUUCGGACCUUGCGCGAUUGAAUGAGCCGAUGUCGGAUUAGCUAGUUGGCGGGGUAAAGGCCCACCAAGGCGACGAUCCGUAGCUGGUCUGAGAGGAUGAUCAGCCACACUGGAACUGAGACACGGUCCAGACUCCUACGGGAGGCAGCAGUGGGGAAUAUUGGACAAUGGGCGCAAGCCUGAUCCAGCCAUACCGCGUGGGUGAAGAAGGCCUUCGGGUUGUAAAGCCCUUUUGUUGGGAAAGAAAAGCAGCAGGUUAAUACCCCGCUGUUCUGACGGUACCCAAAGAAUAAGCACCGGCUAACUUCGUG
This 492-nucleotide ribosomal RNA is filed under the name uncultured bacterium. RNAcentral's name for it is "partial 16S ribosomal RNA". It matches the Rfam family "Bacterial small subunit ribosomal RNA", at positions 29 to 507 of the family's 1533-position model. The record is from RNAcentral.